RNAcentral lists this ribosomal RNA (666 nucleotides) under uncultured Bacilli bacterium. RNAcentral describes it as "bacterial SSU rRNA". It matches the Rfam family "Bacterial small subunit ribosomal RNA", at positions 72 to 725 of the family's 1533-position model. The record is from RNAcentral. Lineage: Bacteria; Bacillati; Bacillota; Bacilli.
GGAGGAGCUUGCUCUUCUGGAUGAGUUGCGAACGGGUGAGUAACGCGUAGGUAACCUGCCUGGUAGCGGGGGAUAACUAUUGGAAACGAUAGCUAAUACCGCAUAAGAGUAGAUGUUGCAUGACAUUUGCUUAAAAGGUGCAAUUGCACCACUACCAGAUGGACCUGCGUUGUAUUAGCUAGUUGGUGGGGUAACGGCUCACCAAGGCGACGAUACAUAGCCGACCUGAGAGGGUGAUCGGCCACACUGGGACUGGGACACGGCCCAGACUCCUACGGGAGGCAGCAGUAGGGAAUCUUCGGCAAUGGACGGAAGUCUGACCGAGCAACGCCGCGUGAGUGAAGAAGGUUUUCGGAUCGUAAAGCUCUGUUGUAAGAGAAGAACGAGUGUGAGAGUGGAAAGUUCACACUGUGACGGUAUCUUACCAGAAAGGGACGGCUAACUACGUGCCAGCAGCCGCGGUAAUACGUAGGUCCCGAGCGUUGUCCGGAUUUAUUGGGCGUAAAGCGAGCGCAGGCGGUUAGAUAAGUCUGAAGUUAAAGGCUGUGGCUUAACCAUAGUACGCUUUGGAAACUGUUUAACUUGAGUGCAAGAGGGGAGAGUGGAAUUCCAUGUGUAGCGGUGAAAUGCGUAGAUAUAUGGAGGAACACCGGUGGCGAAAGCGGC